CCUACGGGAGACAGCAGUGAGGAAUAUUGGUCAAUGGGCGUAAGCCUGAACCAGCCAAGUCGCGUGAGGGAUGAAGGUUCUAUGGAUCGUAAACCUCUUUUAUAAGGGAAUAAAGUGCGGGACGUGUCCCGUUUUGUAUGUACCUUAUGAAUAAGGAUCGGCUAACUCCGUGCCAGCAGCCGCGGUAAUACGGAGGAUCCGAGCGUUAUCCGGAUUUAUUGGGUUUAAAGGGUGCGUAGGCGGCCUUUUAAGUCAGCGGUGAAAGUCUGUGGCUCAACCAUAGAAUUGCCGUUGAAACUGGGAGUCUUGAGUAUGUUUGAGGCAGGCGGAAUGCGUGGUGUAGCGGUGAAAUGCUUAGAUAUCACGCAGAACCCCGAUUGCGAAGGCAGCCUGCCAAGCCAUGACUGACGCUGAUGCACGAAAGCGUGGGGAUCAAACAGGAUUAGAUACCCCAGUAGUC
Molecule: ribosomal RNA, 460 nt
Filed under: uncultured bacterium
Lineage: Bacteria
Description: partial 16S ribosomal RNA
Rfam family: Bacterial small subunit ribosomal RNA
Source: RNAcentral